UGCCCCCUCGGCAAUGGUCAAAGAGACACUUUGUAUUGUAUUGUAUUGUUCUUAUACCAGUCAGGGGCAGAACAGAUGGCAGUCUUUUGUUCAUCCUAGCUUGAUGCCUGGCUUGGUGACCAAAGCUGUCUUAUGCCUAGGACUCCCAA
Small nucleolar RNA from Arvicanthis niloticus (Nile rat), 149 nucleotides. RefSeq annotates it as small nucleolar RNA SNORA48. Lineage: Eukaryota; Metazoa; Chordata; Mammalia; Rodentia; Muridae. The record is from RefSeq and is a predicted model, not a curated record.